UACGUAGGGUGCAAGCGUUGUCCGGAAUUAUUGGGCGUAAAGAGCUCGUAGGCGGUUUUGUUGCGUCGGCUGUGAAAUCCCGAGGCUCAACCUCGGGUCUGCAGUCGAUACGAGCAAACUAGAGUGUUGCAGGGGGAGACUGGAAUUCCUGGUGUAGCGGUGAAAUGCGCAGAUAUCAGGAGGAACGCCGGUGGCGAAGGCGGGUCUCUGGGCAACAACUGACGCUGAGGAGCGAAAGCGUGGGGAGCGAACAGG
RNAcentral lists this ribosomal RNA (255 nucleotides) under uncultured bacterium. RNAcentral's name for it is "partial 16S ribosomal RNA". It matches the Rfam family "Bacterial small subunit ribosomal RNA", at positions 524 to 776 of the family's 1533-position model. The record is from RNAcentral.